This 174-nucleotide ribosomal RNA is filed under the name Donkia pulcherrima. RNAcentral's name for it is "partial 28S ribosomal RNA". It matches the Rfam family "Eukaryotic large subunit ribosomal RNA", at positions 1 to 174 of the family's 3401-position model. Lineage: Eukaryota; Fungi; Basidiomycota; Agaricomycetes; Polyporales; Phanerochaetaceae. The record is from RNAcentral.
ACCUCAAAUCAGGCGGGACUACCCGCUGAACUUAAGCAUAUCAAUAAGCGGAGGAAAAGAAACUAACAAGGAUUCCCCUAGUAACUGCGAGUGAAGCGGGAAAAGCUCAAAUUUAAAAUCUGGCAGUCUUUGGCUGUCCGAGUUGUAGUCUGGAGAAGCGUUUUCCGCGCUGGA